Molecule: ribosomal RNA, 460 nt
Filed under: uncultured bacterium
Lineage: Bacteria
Description: partial 16S ribosomal RNA
Rfam family: Bacterial small subunit ribosomal RNA
Source: RNAcentral
CCUACGGGUGGCAGCAGUGAGGAAUAUUGGUCAAUGGACGAGAGUCUGAACCAGCCAAGUCGCGUGAAGGAUGACUGCCCUAUGGGUUGUAAACUUCUUUUAUAAAAGAAUAAAACGAGGCACGUGUGCCUGUUUGCAUGUACUUUAUGAAUAAGGAUCGGCUAACUCCGUGCCAGCAGCCGCGGUAAUACGGAGGAUUCGAGCGUUAUCCGGAUUUAUUGGGUUUAAAGGGUGCGUAGAUGGGUUGUUAAGUCAGUUGUGAAAUUUUGCGGCUCAACCGUAAAAUUGCAAUUGAUACUGGCAGUCUAGAGUAUAGUUGCGGUAGGCGGAAUUCGUGGUGUAGCGGUGAAAUGCUUAGAUAUCACGCAGAACCCCGAUUGCGAAGGCAGCUUACUAAACUGUGACUGACAUUGAUGCUCGAAAGUGUGGGUAUCAAACAGGAUUAGAUACCCCGGUAGUC